This 447-nucleotide ribosomal RNA is filed under the name uncultured bacterium. Its description in RNAcentral is "bacterial SSU rRNA". It matches the Rfam family "Bacterial small subunit ribosomal RNA", at positions 355 to 825 of the family's 1533-position model. The record is from RNAcentral.
UGGGGAAUAUUGGACAAUGGGCGCAAGCCUGAUCCAGCCAUGCCGCGUGAGUGACGAAGGUCUUCGGAUUGUAAAGCUCUUUUGGUGGGGACGAUAAUGACGGUACCCGCAGAAUAAGCCCCGGCUAACUUCGUGCCAGCAGCCGCGGUAAUACGAAGGGGGCUAGCGUUGUUCGGAAUUACUGGGCGUAAAGCGCACGUAGGCGGAUUUGUUAGUCAGGGGUGAAAUCCCGGGGCUCAACCUCGGAACUGCCUUUGAUACUGCAAGUCUCGAGUCCGAUAGAGGUGAGUGGAAUUCCUAGUGUAGAGGUGAAAUUCGUAGAUAUUAGGAAGAACACCAGUGGCGAAGGCGGCUCACUGGAUCGGUACUGACGCUGAGGUGCGAAAGCGUGGGGAGCAAACAGGAUUAGAUACCCCCGUAGUCCCUGAGCGGGCUGGCAAGGCGCAU